GUCCUAGCUGUAAACGAUGAGAACUAGGUGUGGGUGGAAUCGACCCCUUCCGCGCCGACGCUAACGCAUUAAGUUCUCCGCCUGGGGAGUACGGCCGCAAGGUUAAAACUCAAAGGAAUUGACGGGGGCCCGCACAAGCGGUGGAGCAUGUGGUUUAAUUCGACGCUACGCGAAGAACCUUACCUGGGCUCGAACGACUGGUUGUAGGAGUGAUGAAAGUUACAACGACCCGCAAGGGAGCCAGCCGAGGUGCUGCAUGGUUGUCGU
RNAcentral lists this ribosomal RNA (267 nucleotides) under uncultured bacterium. RNAcentral's name for it is "partial 16S ribosomal RNA". It matches the Rfam family "Bacterial small subunit ribosomal RNA", at positions 793 to 1055 of the family's 1533-position model. The record is from RNAcentral.